AUUUUAAUUUUAGAAAGUGAACUGACCAACUUUUUCUGUGUCUUUUACAAAUAACGGUUUUAUAGUUAUUCCUGAAUGUCCUUUUUCCGUACGAGGGAAUUACACUACACAUGUCUUUCAAAACAUUUCACAUUAUCAAUCAAUCAGCAAGGAAUUUCAAAUACAAGACAGAAACAAGAACACAUUUGUACUUUCAAGCCAUUUAUUCUUUUCAGCACAGAGCCCUGACAUUAACACAUGAAAUGAAUGACUGCACUGAGUGUGUUGACUGAGACAACAUUUUAGGAAGUAUUUUGUGUAACUGCAAAUCAGAACUUUGAUCAGGCAAUUUUUAUGCUUCCUUCAGGAGGAGACUGUAUGGACGAAUAGCGCCCAGUACGAUAUUCUUCUCUAACUCGGCUGGUGUGCCUGCAGGGACGGGCACGAGCCAGUACUCUGGGUAGGAACAAACCUGCCUGACUUUGGGGUUUAUCCUGUUCUGCAGGCACACUUUGUAGGUCUUCCCAUUCUUCUGGGAGACGAAGGUCUUGACGUAGCCAUGUGUUUCUGCCACUUUCACAUCAGGAGUUGAGUAGAUACCCCUGCCAUAUGCCUGCCCACUGCCCGUUAAGUAGUAGGUGCUGAUGAUGCCUUGGGCUCCAGGUAGAGAGGUGCCAUGAUAGGACACGGGCCACUCAUUGGGGUCAGAGUAGGUGCGGUACCCUGGUGAGCCCAGCCAGGCAUUGCCGUCGGGGUACUUCUCAAGAACCUUGAGAGCGAACCGCAUCCACCCGCAGGGCCGCUUGUACACCUCAUUCCCCCUCAUUAACGUUGUGGUGUCGUGGAUGUUGGUGAAGUCGUGGUCCCACGCUGGGUCAAAGAAAUGGUCGUCCAUCACAAAGAGAUCGUUGCGGACGGCUGGCUUAGAGCGCUGGCCGACCUUCCGGAAGUUCACAUCUUUCCAGAACUCCUGGUCAAAGUAGACUGCGGUGAGCAGGUCCUACACAGUGAGUAUGUCGGGAUGAGCCUGGCUAGCGGAAAAGCUCCUGAGAAGAGGAGGGGGUGCUGCAGACUGGGGCUUGACGGUGACCCCGACCAGCGCCGAGAGGCCCUCAAAAAGGACGUCCUUGUCCAUUCUCCAAGGCAGAGGCGGACGUUACUAAGGAGAUACUAAUGAUGUGCUAGCACAAAGGAGAUGUAGAUUAUGUCUCGACUGCCUCAGUGGAAAGUGUGAAAUCAGGCGCUUAUGUCCUUAUAUACAAUUGUGGCCACCUGUGAAU
Clupea harengus (Atlantic herring) is the source of this 1259-nucleotide long non-coding RNA. The record is from Ensembl. NCBI's taxonomy places the organism in Eukaryota, Metazoa, Chordata, Actinopteri, Clupeiformes, Clupeidae.